Molecule: transfer RNA, 73 nt
Filed under: [Clostridium] leptum
Lineage: Bacteria; Bacillati; Bacillota; Clostridia; Eubacteriales; Oscillospiraceae
Also listed under: 2 other names
Description: Clostridium leptum tRNA
Rfam family: tRNA
About the family: Transfer RNA (tRNA) molecules are approximately 80 nucleotides in length. Their secondary structure includes four short double-helical elements and three loops (D, anti-codon, and T loops).
Source: Rfam by way of RNAcentral
UGGGGUGUAGCCAAGCGGUAAGGCAACGGACUUUGACUCCGUCAUUGCGCUGGUUCGAAUCCAGCCAUCCCAG